This is a long non-coding RNA of Perognathus longimembris pacificus (Pacific pocket mouse), 371 nucleotides long. RefSeq lists it as uncharacterized. Lineage: Eukaryota; Metazoa; Chordata; Mammalia; Rodentia; Heteromyidae. The record is from RefSeq and is a predicted model, not a curated record. The transcript has 2 exons.
UCCUGCCUGGGCUGGCUUUGAACCACAAUCCUCAGAUCUCAGCCUCAUGAGUAGCGAGGAUUAUGGGUGUGAGCCACCAGGAUCUGGCUCAAAAUGCAUGUUUUAAAUCAUAUUAAAUCAGAGCUAGAAAAAUCCAUUCCUGAACUACCUCUUUCAAUGUUUUCUUUUUCAAGAACAGACUUUAUAAUUAAAGUCAGUUUUACUAUCUGAAAGAGCUGACACUUCUCCUUUCUCCUUCGUUUUUUCCCCCUAAAAUCUCAUAUCUUAGUUUUUCAGGAUGGAAACAAAAUUGGAUACAGGGAACAGUUCAGUGGCCGAACACUUGUCUCACCUACUCAAGGCCCUAGGGUUGAUCUCCACCACUAAAAAGG